Molecule: ribosomal RNA, 474 nt
Filed under: uncultured bacterium
Lineage: Bacteria
Description: bacterial SSU rRNA
Rfam family: Bacterial small subunit ribosomal RNA
Source: RNAcentral
GGCAUGCCUUACACAUGCAAGUCGAACGGCAGCACGGGUGCUUGCACCUGGUGGCGAGUGGCGAACGGGUGAGUAAUAUAUAGGUAAUAUGCCUCUUACUAAGGGAUAACAGAUGGAAACGUCUGCUAAUACCUUAUAUGCCUUUAGGACUAAAGUCCGCAAGGGAAAGAUUUAUCGGUAAGAGAUUAGCCUGUACAGUAUCAGUUAGUUGGUGAGGUAAAGGCCUACCAAGGCGACGAUCCGUAGCGGGUCUGAGAGGAUGAUCCGCCACACUGGGACUGAGACACGGCCCAGACUCCUACGGGAGGCAGCAGUGGGGAAUAUUGGACAAUGGGCGCAAGCCUGAUCCAGCCAUGCCGCGUGUGUGAAGAAGGCCUUCGGGUUGUAAAGCACUUUCAGCGAGGAGGAAGGGAUGUAUGUUAAUAGCAUGCAUUUUUGACGUUACUCGCAGAAGAAGCACCGGCUAACUCUGUG